This 65-nucleotide transfer RNA is filed under the name Opisthoteuthis sp. JN-2021. Its description in RNAcentral is "tRNA-Pro". Lineage: Eukaryota; Metazoa; Mollusca; Cephalopoda; Octopoda; Opisthoteuthidae. The record is from RNAcentral.
CAAAAAAUAGUUUAAAAAAAAUAGUAACAUUGGAAGUUAUUGAUCAAUAAAGUAUUGUUUUUUGA